This is a long non-coding RNA of Peromyscus leucopus (white-footed mouse), 1350 nucleotides long. RefSeq lists it as uncharacterized. The record is from RefSeq and is a predicted model, not a curated record. Lineage: Eukaryota; Metazoa; Chordata; Mammalia; Rodentia; Cricetidae. The transcript has 3 exons.
GCCGCUGCCAUGACAAGCAACAUGUAAAAGAUACCGAUUUCUGGAAUUCUAUGCAAGAAAAGCCCAAUGAGGUUACUCUGGAGCAAUUGUGGUGAUGAUGACUCAAGAUGGCUGCAGUCAUGACAAGUUGAACCCAUACAAUGUCCAGAUUUGUAAGGUUUCUGGAAUUCUAUGCAAGGAAAGCCCACUGAGGUUACUCUAGAGGAAUCGUGGUGAUUAUAACUCAAGAUGGCUGAAGACAUGACAAGUUGAAACCAUACAAUGUCCAGAUUUGAAAAGUAUGUAUUAUCCUUAUUUUAUAGUAAGAGCACCUAGACUCAGAGGUUAGGCAUGUGCAAAUACUUAUCUAAAAGAAUAGUAGAACUGAACUUUAAAUAGAAUCACUGUAGACUCUAAAGCCCAUGUUGUUUCCCCCUACACCUUGUGAUAUAAUAGUAGAGUGCUGAAAACAGCUACAAUGCCCUUCUACAGGUUAGUCCCACAUAGUUAUAGAAUGGCCAAAAGAAGAGAUUUUUAUGCUGUUCAUAGAAUAGUUAGCAGUAUGUUUAAUGGAUAAAUUCUCAUGGCAUAUGUUAACUUUUUUAAUUGAGACAUAAAACUAUAUAUAGCAAAAUGUUAAUCUGGUUUUCACAGUUAUGAUGUAAAUAAAAGUCUGGAAAGAAAAUUGAAAACACCGAAUGUUAUGACUGUGUGGUGGCGUGACUGUGGUUUAAAUAACUGUCCUCAGUUUCCUGUCCUAGCAUCCAUUCUUGCUCUCCACCCAGACCCCAGGUUCCUUUUGGACACCUCUUUCGAACCUCAAUGAGAUAAUAUUGAGCUUCCUCAUCUCCCUCUGGAGAGGCCGAAGAGGGUCACGGGGGCUUCCUUAGCCAGGUUCUUCUGUGUGUUUGUUCAGUAGGAGUGGAAAGAGCUUGGUGCAUCUGAAGAGGAGAUAACUAGCAAAGAAGGGUCCUUAACCAAGUUAAAGUGAGAUGUAAGAAUGGCAGGUCUCUCCCAUCUUACAGUAGCGCCUGCGCUGUGCAAACAAGUUCCUAUAAUGGCAAUUAAUGAGGCAAUUCCAUGUAGUUUAUGUGACGGUCAAAAGGGGUUUAUUUUGAGUCAACUUAGCAAGCAAAGGGGGUUGGUUAUGGGAUCCAGGAGAGGUGAGGUGCAGUUCAACAUGGUUCUCUGGAGAACUCUGACUUGGUCAGCAGUGCAGCAUCCAGCAUCCAGGAUCACGAGGUAACCAAGAGAGUGAACAUGUACACAUUUCAGUUCUUAAGGGGUCCCUAUCUUGGCCAUGCUCCAGGCAGGGGCAGGUACUUAGUACUUACCUGCUGCCUACUAUGGGUGGUACUUCAGGGGUGAAGC